AACGAACGCUGGCGGCAGGCUUAACACAUGCAAGUCGAACGCCCCGCAAGGGGAGUGGCAGACGGGUGAGUAACGCGUGGGAAUCUACCCAGUUCUACGGAACAACACAGGGAAACUUGUGCUAAUACCGUAUACGCCCUACGGGGAAAGAUUUAUCGGAAUUGGAUGAGCCCGCGUAAGAUUAGCUAGUUGGUGGGGUA
RNAcentral lists this ribosomal RNA (200 nucleotides) under uncultured bacterium. RNAcentral's name for it is "partial 16S ribosomal RNA". It matches the Rfam family "Bacterial small subunit ribosomal RNA", at positions 29 to 259 of the family's 1533-position model. The record is from RNAcentral.